This 1123-nucleotide long non-coding RNA is filed under the name Homo sapiens (human). RNAcentral's name for it is "HSALNT0340633". Lineage: Eukaryota; Metazoa; Chordata; Mammalia; Primates; Hominidae. The record is from RNAcentral.
GGCGCAGCGCGCGGCGUCAGUCUUGGCUGGCAGACCUGUACUCCGUACUCCGUACUUCGUAGUCGCAGCGGCGCGGUCUUCGGCAGUCUAGUCAUCCACCGCCAUCCUGGGCCCCACGUGUUGCCUGACCAUUCCUGAGCCCAGGUGGGAGCCGUGGCUGAGGUGACGGUCUCAAAGUGGAAGAGCUUACUGUCACAGCAACUCCUUUGCAAGAUGCCCCGGCCAGGAAUAGUUGCUGAACACCCCAGGCCUGCUGAGGUCCCUCCUUGAGUCUCAUGUUCAAGCAGUCUUGUGAGUAAAGCACUGGCUACCCCUUUUCACUUACUAUCUUUUCAAGCAUGUUCUACCACCUUGGAAGGUAAGAGGUUAGUACCUUCUUCCAGAGCAGAGGGCAGGCAUUCUUGCUGUGCGUUGUGAAAGGGUAGAGUCCUGCGCUCCUUUCUUGUAGUAGUCCAAUGGCUCAUGCAGGUGCCUCUGACUCCCCUAUGGGAACUGGGGCUUGGGAGGGUGGUGGAAAAUGCUGAUGCUCUGGCUAUUGCUAUUGUUUUGAAUAAUCAGUGGUCCCUUGUCCCUAAUCGAGGAAUUUUGUAUUUUCUACCAGUGUCCAUGAAACUGGGAGGCGACCGUGUUAGCUGCCAGUUCCUGACAGCCACCUCUCACCAGUGGCUUCACUCUGUGUCCCUGACCCAGCACAUGGCACAAGAGUGCCUGCCAUCCGUCAGUGUUUCUACAGCAGCAAUCCCAAGAUGCUGGAGCUAGAGGGGACCUGACCUGAGAGAAGAUACCUUCAGUGGCUGCCAGGCUGUUCCUUGGAACCUGUGCAGGGAUGAGGCCUGCCUGUGUUAAUACACCUAGUGAGGAGUGGAGCUGAAUUUGAAUGCAAGCCUUGGCACCUUAAUUGAGCAAGUUUGAAACCUCGCUUGUUGCCCUUCUGGAAGGAGUCAGGAAUUUCCAGUUCUGGGCCUGGGCUGUGGGUCUGGCAGACAGACCUCUGGCCCUAGGUUUGGGUGCCAGGUUCUCUGCUUCCAGAAUGAGAAGCUUUGCUGUGCACCAGGACCUGGGCCCUUCUGGUAUCUCCUGAAUGAAAAACAAGGGAUAUUUAAUAAAUAUGGAUUUAAAUAUG